GCAUGUACAUAUAUAUAGUAUAAUUUGUAUUCUGAAUCUAUCAUGAGGAUUAGGUUACCUCGAGGAUUGACUAAAGAUCAAUUUUACGUUGUAUUAAUUUUAGGAACAGUCACCGGUUUCUAUAACUGGAAAAAACCGUUACAGGAACAUUUAAAGGAGCAAUUUGAAGAGGAAAAUAAGUUAAAUGAGCCUACCAGUAAAAACCAAGAAUCUGUUAAUUCAGAAAUUUAGCACACUUGGACUUGUAGUAAUCAGUGGAGCCUUGAUUAUAACAUGUGUUCGAAUUUAUGUACGGCCAUGGUAUUUGAAACGAAGAUCUGCACAAGCAGAAGAACAUGCAAAUAUUGUUUACGAGCUACAGAAGAAAAAAAUUUUACAAGAACAAAAUGAGAGUUGAGAUCGAAUUAAUAUUGUUUUAAUAUUCUAUAUGAUCCAUUCGUUGUAUUAGAAUUUUUAUUUAAAUAAAAAAUGUGUAAAUAGUA
Long non-coding RNA from Nylanderia fulva, 482 nucleotides. RefSeq lists it as uncharacterized. The record is from RefSeq and is a predicted model, not a curated record. Lineage: Eukaryota; Metazoa; Arthropoda; Insecta; Hymenoptera; Formicidae.